RNAcentral lists this ribosomal RNA (116 nucleotides) under Escherichia coli. Lineage: Bacteria; Pseudomonadati; Pseudomonadota; Gammaproteobacteria; Enterobacterales; Enterobacteriaceae. RNAcentral also lists the same sequence under 5 other names. The record is from RNAcentral.
CCUGGCGGCCGUAGCGCGGUGGUCCCACCUGACCCCAUGCCGAACUCAGAAGUGAAACGCCGUAGCGCCGAUGGUAGUGUGGGGUCUCCCCAUGCGAGAGUAGGAAACUGCCAGGC